Molecule: long non-coding RNA, 304 nt
Organism: Oncorhynchus tshawytscha (Chinook salmon)
Lineage: Eukaryota; Metazoa; Chordata; Actinopteri; Salmoniformes; Salmonidae
Source: Ensembl
UUGAAUAUGUUGCAUGGGAGGCUCAGGCUUGAAUCUGUUGCAUGGGAGGCUCAGGCUUGAAUGUGUUGCACGGGAGGCUUAGGAUUGAAUGUGUUGCAUGGGAGGCUCAGGCUUGAAUGUUUUGCAGGGGAGGCUCAGGCUUGAAUAUGUUGCAGGGGAGGCACAGGCAUAAAUGUGUUGCAGGAGAGGCUCAGGCUUAAAUGUGUUGCAUGGGAGGCUUAAGAUUGAAUGUGUUGCAUGGGAGGCUCAGGCUUAAAUGUGUUGAAGGGGUGGCUUAGGAUCGAAUGUGCUGCAAGGUAGGCUU